GGCGCCGUGGCAGAGUGGUCUAAUGCGAUAGACUAGAAAUUGUUCUGUAUUGAUUCUGGUUAUCUAUUCUCUUCGGAGGCGCAUGUUCGAAUCAUGCCGGCGUCG
Non-coding RNA from Diaporthe ampelina, 105 nucleotides. Lineage: Eukaryota; Fungi; Ascomycota; Sordariomycetes; Diaporthales; Diaporthaceae. The record is from Rfam.